GCGGUAAUACCACCUCGCGUAAUGUACUCUAAAGUUGCUGCAAUUAAAACGCUCGUAGUUGGAUGACAGACCUUUUGGAGGAGCUGAUUGUAAGAUUAUCCAUCGCGGUGAUUUUACUCUCUUGUGCUCUUCCAAGAGGUAUUUUUGUCUGUGCCCUUGGAUUGACCUUUACUGCGUUGAUCCAUGAGCUCAGAAGAUGUGCCUUGAGAAAAUCAGAAUGCUCAAAGUAGGCUUUUGCCUGAAUGUUGAUAGCAUGGAACGAACAAUUGUGGCAACGUCAAUUUUUGGAUGUAUAAAUAUGCAAAUAUCUGUAUACCCAAUCAUUGACGCCCGUGCUCUGAUACUAGAAUGUUGGUUUGGUGUCGGGGUGUUUGGUUAAAAGGAGUAGUUGGGGGCAUUGGUAUUUGGCAGCUAGAGGUGAAAUUCUUAGACCUGCCAAGGACUGACUGAUGCGAAGGCGUUUGUCCAGACUACAUCAAUUGAUCAAGAACGAAACAGCAGGGUUCGAAGACUAUUAGAUACAGUCCUAGUCUGCUGCGUAAACGAUGCCGACCCGGGAUGAGGUGUGCAGCCAUUGUAGUGCUGCGACUUGGUCCCCCUGAGAAAUCUAGAGUUUUUGGGCUUUGGGGGGAGUAUAUCCGCAAGGAAGAAACUUAAAAGAAUUGACGGAUGGGCACCACAAGAUGUGGAACUUGCGGCUUAAUUCGACUUAACGCGGGGAAUCUUACUUGACCAGGACAACGAGAGGACAGACAGACUAAAGAUCUUUCUCGAUACGUUGGAUGGUGGUGCAUGGCCGUUCUUGGUUCGUGGAGUGAUUUGUGGGGUCGAUUCCUUAAACGAGCGAGACCCUUGUCUCCAUUUGAGGUUUGUUGGAGUGCGCGAAGCAAUUCGUGCUCAGAUAGAGUGUUCUGAUUGACUUGUCAACUAAGAGUGUUCUUCCCGACAAGAGGCUGUACUUGGUGCGAACCGGGUGCAGUAUCAUGGAGAGACGUGUGGGUAUACACAAAAGCCACAGGAAGUGGGGUCAAAAACAGGUCUGUGAUGCCCUUAGAUGGCCGAGGCAGCACGCGAGUUACAAUGACACUGACAGCGCGUUUCUGCUCCGAGAGGAGUGGGUAACCUCUAGGCAGUGUCGUGAGGAGGAUUGUCCAUUGGAAUUUGGACAUGAAAUAGGAAUAUCUUGUAUGUGCAGCUCACCAGGCUGUACAGAAUGCGUCCCUGCCCAUUGUACAC
RNAcentral lists this ribosomal RNA (1236 nucleotides) under Myxobolus aeglefini. RNAcentral describes it as "SSU rRNA". It matches the Rfam family "Eukaryotic small subunit ribosomal RNA", at positions 576 to 1667 of the family's 1831-position model. The record is from RNAcentral. Lineage: Eukaryota; Metazoa; Cnidaria; Myxozoa; Bivalvulida; Myxobolidae.